CAGUAGCCGCGGUAAUGCGUAGGUGGCAAGCGUUGUCCGGAAUUAUUGGGCGUAAAGGGCUCGCAGGCGGUUUCUUAAGUCUGAUGUGAAAGCCCCCGGCUCAACCGGGGAGGGUCAUUGGAAACUGGGAAACUUGAGUGCAGAAGAGGAGAGUGGAAUUCCACGUGUAGCGGUGAAAUGCGUAGAGAUGUGGAGGAACACCAGUGGCGAAGGCGACUCUCUGGUCUGUAACUGACGCUGAGGAGCGAAAGCGUGGGGAGCGAACAGGAUUAGAUACCCCGGUAGUCCCUGUCUCUUAUAC
RNAcentral lists this ribosomal RNA (301 nucleotides) under uncultured bacterium. RNAcentral's name for it is "partial 16S ribosomal RNA". It matches the Rfam family "Bacterial small subunit ribosomal RNA", at positions 509 to 807 of the family's 1533-position model. The record is from RNAcentral.